RNAcentral lists this transfer RNA (75 nucleotides) under Planctomycetales bacterium. RNAcentral's name for it is "tRNA-Leu". It matches the Rfam family "tRNA". From Rfam's summary of the family: Transfer RNA (tRNA) molecules are approximately 80 nucleotides in length. Their secondary structure includes four short double-helical elements and three loops (D, anti-codon, and T loops). Further hydrogen bonds mediate the characteristic L-shaped molecular structure. tRNAs have two regions of fundamental functional importance: the anti-codon, which is responsible for specific mRNA codon recognition, and the 3' end, to which the tRNAs corresponding amino acid is attached (by aminoacyl-tRNA synthetases). tRNAs cope with the degeneracy of the genetic code in two manners: having more than one tRNA (with a specific anti-codon) for a particular amino acid; and 'wobble' base-pairing, i.e. permitting non-standard base-pairing at the 3rd anti-codon position. Lineage: Bacteria; Pseudomonadati; Planctomycetota; Planctomycetia; Planctomycetales. The record is from RNAcentral.
GGCACGGUGCGCCAACUAGGAAGAGCGACCAACCUCAAAACUUGGUGGGUGUGGGUUCGAGUCCCUCCCGUGCUA